This 67-nucleotide transfer RNA is filed under the name Monodiamesa sp. 1 CZ-2021a. RNAcentral describes it as "tRNA-Ser". Lineage: Eukaryota; Metazoa; Arthropoda; Insecta; Diptera; Chironomidae. The record is from RNAcentral.
GAAAUAUAAAGUCUAAGGAAAAGCUGCUAACUUUUAUCUUUAAUGGUUUAACUCCAUUAAUAUUUCU